CAAAAUAUUAUUUAUGCCAGGGGGAGUCAAAUGGCGGCACCCAGAUAAUUUUUAUCUGGCCCUCCAACUGGUUUUUGAUGUUUAAAACCGCUCGCAAUCUGAUAUCAAAGUCCCCGCAAAGGUUUAGCGUUUUCAGCGUGAAUGUCAACCCGUUCUCACGCUGAAGAAGUCUCCUUCAGAACACAUCGCGAUAUUUGGCAUCAGUUCGCGUGUGCUGGAUGUUGGUAAGUAGUCGUAAAUACGCUGUUCUAAUGUUUGAUAUAAUGUCUUUUCUGUUUGCAGAUAUUAAUCAGAUUAACGUUAGCUCCCUCAUGUUCAGUCACUGCAUUAUAUCUGUCACCUCCGCUAAGGUUUUGCUUUUCAUUGUUUUCUAUAUUAAAUAGUACUAAACUAGGGUGAUUAAACACUGUCACGUGACGUGCAAUAUAUUGCACAAUAUAUAUAACAUAUUCAUAUCAGGUUCAAAGUAGUACAAGUGUAGUUUCAAAAUGGUAUUUGUUGUAGAAGCACGGUAAAAAAACAACACUUACCAUGCUUUUUACCACAGUAUUGGUAGUUUUAAUUAGAUUUUUGUUGUAAAUACAGAGUAACCACAACACUUAUCAUGCUUUUAAUGCCUAAUAAUGUUAAAUCCAAAAACUGUAAGGUCAAUAAGAACUUCUUUCCUAUAUAUAUUUAUAUAUAAACCUAUAUAUUAUAAAUAAUGAUAUUUUCUUUUCUCUUGUUUUAGCUGAAAAGACAAAAAGGGCCUUUUGGAAAUGGAUGAAGGAGACAGAAAGCUGCAAAGGCAAAUAAUUGCAAUGAAGGAAAUCCUACAGUUAUGUAUGAACUCACAACAUCAUCAUCAAGUGCUGUGCUGGGCACAUUGGGUAACAAGUGUCCUCCAACGUAUCCAAUCUGUGACCACAUUCUCCACAUCUUCCCAUGGGACACCGACAUUCUUCAGGCCUUCGUUUCCAUGUCUUCCCCUGCAUUCUCCUGGUGGUGUCCACUUCAUAUCUGUCUUUGGGUGUUGUUGUUUGGUCAUGCUUAGGGUGUGUCCGGGGAGGUGCACCCUUCACUCUGUCACAGUUUUUAAAAGUCUUCACGUGGACUCCUCCUUAUGAUCUCCUUGAAACGUGCAGAACCAAUAUUGAAAAUAGUAAUUUAUCUUUUUCCAUAUUCUUGCCUUUAUCAAAGAAGCACCAGUGCUCAUCCGGAGUUUUGGUAAAAGUUCUAGUAAUGCUGCGACUAUAGUCAAAUAUGUAUUUCUGCAUGUGUGUAUAGCAGGUGUUUGUCCGAACAAUUGAAGUUAGUGAGAGUGUUCAGGAAAACCCUCUGAGAACAAUCAAUAUUUAUUUAAUUCUGUUUGGUGCUGAUAUAGAGUAUUACAGAAAUGACACAUUGACAUUCUGGACAUUAUUCUGUGAGUUUGUUACCUCUUCAUUUAGAUGGACUUGAAAAUGUCUUG
Megalobrama amblycephala (Wuchang bream) is the source of this 1450-nucleotide long non-coding RNA. RefSeq lists it as uncharacterized. The transcript has 3 exons. Lineage: Eukaryota; Metazoa; Chordata; Actinopteri; Cypriniformes; Xenocyprididae. The record is from RefSeq and is a predicted model, not a curated record.